AGUGAACGCUGGCGGUAGGCCUAACACAUGCAAGUCGAACGGCAGCACAGUAAGAGCUUGCUCUUACGGGUGGCGAGUGGCGGACGGGUGAGGAAUACAUCGGAAUCUACUUUUUCGUGGGGGAUAACGUAGGGAAACUUACGCUAAUACCGCAUACGACCUACGGGUGAAAGCAGGGGAUCUUCGGACCUUGCGCGAUUGAAUGAGCCGAUGUCGGAUUAGCUAGUUGGCGGGGUAAAGGCCCACCAAGGCGACGAUCCGUAGCUGGUCUGAGAGGAUGAUCAGCCACACUGGAACUGAGACACGGUCCAGACUCCUACGAGAGGCAGCAGUGGGGAAUAUUGGACAAUGGGCGCAAGCUUGAUCCAGCCAUACCGCGUGAGUGAAGAAGGCCUUCGGGUUGUAAAGCCCUUUUGUUGGGAAAGAAAAGCAGCAGGUUAAUACCCCGCUGUUCUGACGGUACCCAAAGAAUAAGCACCGGCUAACUUCGUG
RNAcentral lists this ribosomal RNA (492 nucleotides) under uncultured bacterium. Its description in RNAcentral is "partial 16S ribosomal RNA". It matches the Rfam family "Bacterial small subunit ribosomal RNA", at positions 29 to 507 of the family's 1533-position model. The record is from RNAcentral.